CAAUAGCGUAUAUUAAAGUUGUUGCAGUUAAAAAGCUCGUAGUUGGAUUUCUGGUGGGAGCGAUCGGUCUGGCGCUUAGCGCGAGUACUUGCAUCGUCUCCGGCCAUCCUUGGGGAGAGUCUGUCUGGCAUUAGGUUGUCGGGCAGAGGAUCCUCAUCGUUUACUGUGAAAAAAUUAGAGUGUUCAAAGCAGGCUUAUGCCGUUGAAUAUAUUAGCAUGGAAUAAUAAGAUAGGACUUUGGUACUAUUUUGUUGGUCUGCGCACCAAAGUAAUGAUUAAUAGGGACAGUUGGGGGUAUUCGUAUUCCGUUGUCAGAGGUGAAAUUCUUGGAUUUACGGAAGACGAACUACUGCGAAAGCAUUUACCAAGGAUGUUUUCAUUAA
RNAcentral lists this ribosomal RNA (383 nucleotides) under uncultured eukaryote. Its description in RNAcentral is "partial 18S ribosomal RNA". It matches the Rfam family "Eukaryotic small subunit ribosomal RNA", at positions 592 to 976 of the family's 1831-position model. The record is from RNAcentral.